RNAcentral lists this unclassified non-coding RNA (246 nucleotides) under plant metagenome. Its description in RNAcentral is "partial contains small subunit ribosomal RNA, internal transcribed spacer 1, and 5.8S ribosomal RNA". The record is from RNAcentral.
UCUCCGUUGGUGAACCAGCGGAGGGAUCAUUACCGAGUUUACAACUCCCAAACCCAAUGUGAACGUUACCAAACUGUUGCCUCGGCGGGGUCACGCCCCGGGUGCGUCGCAGCCCCGGAACCAGGCGCCCGCCGGAGGAACCAACCAAACUCUUUCUGUAGUCCCCUCGCGGACGUUAUUUCUUACAGCUCUGAGCAAAAAAUUCAAAAUGAAUCAAAACUUUCAACAACGGAUCUCUUGGUUCUG